This 927-nucleotide long non-coding RNA is filed under the name Homo sapiens (human). RNAcentral describes it as "HSALNT0267036". Lineage: Eukaryota; Metazoa; Chordata; Mammalia; Primates; Hominidae. The record is from RNAcentral.
CUCCCUCCCUCAGUCUGGUCUCUUCUUGGGGAAAUUCCAGAGCUGGAAAGCCAGGGGACAGCCAGGAAUCCCUUUUUUCAUAAGGUGUGGGACUAUUUCCUUGUCUAAUGUUGGCUCAGACAGAGCCCUGACCAGUGCUCGUGGGAGGUUCACUCGCUAUACUUUGUGUAACAAAAUAAACACACGCAUGCAUGUGCAGGCAAGCACAUGCCGCACAGACCUAGAUGCAGUCCAGGCUGCAGCCCAGGGUCAGAAAUGCAAUGAACCAGCAAAUCACCCUUAGGAAGGGAGACAGAGAGCUCAAUGGUAUAACAUCUUCCUAGCUGGUUUGGGGUAGGGGGGUGGCACAGUGGGGGGAGCUUUUUAAAAUCUUAUGUAAGUUGUGGAUCCUCUCUCCGGAGAACCACAAGGUGCUUAAUAAAGGUUGGGUGGAUGGAUGGAUAGAUGGAUGCAUAGAUAGAUGGAAGAAAGAAUGAAAGAUUGGUUGGGAAAAUGGGGGAUGAGAGAAGGGAUGAAUGGGAAGGCAAUUGAAUAAGAGGUUGAUGGUUGGUUUGAUGGGUGGAUGGAUGGAUGGAUGGAUGGAUGGAUGGAUGGGUAGGUGGAUGGGUAGGUGGAAGAGUGAAUGGCUGUGGGCAUGAAUAUGUGAGAGCAUGAGUGAAUGAAUGAAUCAGUGAGCCAUUAGGUGAAUGGGGGGAAGAGUAAAUGAGUGAAUGAAUGAAUAAAUGCUUGAGUGAGUAAACAAGUUAGUACCUGGGUAAAUGAACUUCUAGUCCAGACUGAAAACAUAGUUCAUUGUUACCUUCCUUAGGUGCAAGGAACCUUUCAGAAGAAAGCAGGAAGGAAGAGAGAGUGGCCUGAAUCUUGGAUGACCACACUUUCAAGCCUCUGUAAGGAAGUGCCCUCUUCGCUUCCGGGAGAGCCGCGCGU